Molecule: ribosomal RNA, 254 nt
Filed under: uncultured bacterium
Lineage: Bacteria
Description: partial 16S ribosomal RNA
Rfam family: Bacterial small subunit ribosomal RNA
Source: RNAcentral
UACGUAGGGGGCGAGCGUUGUCCGGAUUCAUUGGGCGUAAAGAGCUCGUAGGCGGCUUGGCAAGUCGGGUGUGAAAACUUCAGGCUCAACCUGGAGCGGCCACUCGAUACUGCCAUGGCUUGAGGCCGGGAGAGGGUAGCGGAAUUCCCAGUGUAGCGGUGAAAUGCGUAGAUAUUGGGAGGAACACCAGUGGCGAAGGCGGCUACCUGGACCGGUUCUGACGCUGAGGCGCGAAAGCGUGGGUAGCAAACAGG